CGGAUUCUGGCUGUGAUGUCAUUGACAAAAGAAGAAAAUGCAAAGCAGGUGGUCUUGAAUCAGCUUCCUGGUGAGCAUCAUACUUACAGCUGAGGCCUGAGACCAGCUGCAUUUUGGCCAUGGCUUUACAGAGUGCUCUGGAAGCGGUGUGGCUGGGCCUCCUCCUCAGCUUUCUCUGGAAGGGAUGUGCACCAAGACUCCUUGUUAGGGGCUCAAGCCCUUCUCAGCAGGGACGCUACAACAUGACAUACGAGCGAUUCUCCUCAUCACUGCUCAUCCUCCAGGUGCAGGUGGCAGACGCUGCCACUUACUACUGUGCUCUGCAGGACACAGAGGCAGGGAACCCAUGAAGAGCUGAACAGAAACAGGGAGAGAUCACAACGUUUCCAGGAGGUGGAAAAAGGAUAAGCAAUAGCUGCUUUCUCCCCGAUGCAGUGUUCUUCAAGCUUUCCCAUUUGGCACUGCCAUCAGAAAAAAAUUGAGUCCAGACACACUAUCUAUUAGCAAAUGUGCACAGGAACAUAUGUUUUUAGGGAGUGAUUCAAUGAUGGUGCUAUAAAUCCAUAUUAAAUAGUCUUGAUGACUGAAACACUUUUGACCCAUUUCUUUUGAGAGCUGAUUAGAUUGUUUUUUAUUUUCCUCAUAAAACAAAUGAUGAUGAACUUGUGAUAGGAGUAAGAGGCAUGUCAAUUCUGCCAUUUUAUUCUUGCUCUCUGUGCUUGCAUCUUAAAUAUUAUCUGCUAGCUUCAGUCUCUUUGCAGGAACAUUUUCAAGGUGUGCCCAUUUUGGAAAGAGUAGUUUAGUUAAUAUUGGAUAAUAUAAUAAGAAGCUGAAAGAGAAUGAGUAAGCGAGUGGCUAUUACCAACAGCCCUGAGUUUGGAACCUCAAUCCUUCCCUCAGGAUACUUUGCAUAUAAUCUAACAUGCAGACCCAGUGAGGACACCAGUGUCAAUCAGUAUAUGAAAUAUUAGUAAAACUCAAUCUCAUUCCUAAUUUUUAAACUGAAAACAAAUACGAAUGGAAAUUGUAAUAUAUUCUUCCCACAUCCUUAUUAACUUAUCUUGGUCUUCCCGCCCAGAUGUGUCCCUCCCACUUUAGAGACCAAUGCCCUAGGGUAGACCAGUGGUUCCUAAACCUGUUUAUCAGAAGUAUCUGGAAUUUUGGGAAAAAAAUUGAUUUUUUUUUUUUUUUUUGCUAUAUUCCAGAUCAACUGAAUCAGAGUUUGCAAGGGUGGGGCCCAGAAGUCUGUAUUUCCUAUUUAGUUCUCUCUGGUGAUUCUGCUGCUCAGCCAAGUUUGACCUGGGAAUCCCAGACUCUGGACCCCAGAUCUAAGGCUUUAACCACUAUUCUCUACCACCUUUCAGUUAGAAGUAUAGUGCUAGGGAAGGGUUUCAGGAAGUGAUCCCC
RNAcentral lists this long non-coding RNA (1407 nucleotides) under Equus asinus (donkey). Its description in RNAcentral is "lncRNA (ENSEASG00005028664.1)". Lineage: Eukaryota; Metazoa; Chordata; Mammalia; Perissodactyla; Equidae. The record is from RNAcentral.